This 468-nucleotide ribosomal RNA is filed under the name uncultured bacterium. Its description in RNAcentral is "partial 16S ribosomal RNA". It matches the Rfam family "Bacterial small subunit ribosomal RNA", at positions 28 to 507 of the family's 1533-position model. The record is from RNAcentral.
GACGAACGCUGGCGGCGUGCUUAACACAUGCAAGUCGAACGGAAAGGCCCUGCUUUUGUGGGGUGCUCGAGUGGCGAACGGGUGAGUAACACGUGAGUAACCUGCCCUUGACUUUGGGAUAACUUCAGGAAACUGGGGCUAAUACCGGAUAGGAGCUCCUGCUGCAUGGUGGGGGUUGGAAAGUUUCGGCGGUUGGGGAUGGACUCGCGGCUUAUCAGCUUGUUGGUGGGGUAGUGGCUUACCAAGGCUUUGACGGGUAGCCGGCCUGAGAGGGUGACCGGCCACAUUGGGACUGAGAUACGGCCCAGACUGCUACGGGAGGCAGCAGUGGGGAAUAUUGCACAAUGGGCGGAAGCCUGAUGCAGCAACGCCGCGUGCGGGAGGACGGCCGUCGGGUUGGAAACCGCUUUCGCCUGUGACGAAGCGUGAGUGACGGUAAUGGGUAAAGAAGCACCGGCUAACUACGUG